GACGAACGCUGGCGGCGCGCCUAACACAUGCAAGUCGAACGAUUAAAGCACCUUCGGGUGUGUAUCAAGUGGCGAACGGCUGAGUAACACGUGGGCAUCCCCCCCCUUUCACUGGGAUAGACCCGGGAAGCCGUGGAUCAUACCGAAUACUUCGAGUCUUCCGCCUGGAAGACGCGUGAAAGCUCCGGCGGGGUGGGAUGGGACCGCGGCCUGUUAGCUUGUUGGUGGGGGAACGGCCUACCAAGGCUAUGAUGGGUAGGCGGGUUGAGAGACCGACCAGCCAGAUUGGGACUGAGACACGGCCCAGACUCCUACGGGAGGCAGCAGUGGGGAAUCUUGCACAAUGGGCGGAAGCCUGAUGCAGCGACGCCGCGUGCGGGAUGAAGGCCUUCGGGUUGUAAACCGCUUUCAGCAGGGACGAGGCGAAAGUGACGGUACCUGCAGAAGAAGCCCCGGCUAACUACGUG
RNAcentral lists this ribosomal RNA (467 nucleotides) under uncultured bacterium. Its description in RNAcentral is "partial 16S ribosomal RNA". It matches the Rfam family "Bacterial small subunit ribosomal RNA", at positions 28 to 507 of the family's 1533-position model. The record is from RNAcentral.